UGGGUUAGUCGAUCCUAAGAGU
This 22-nucleotide small nuclear RNA is filed under the name Arabidopsis thaliana (thale cress). RNAcentral's name for it is "snRNA_00430". Lineage: Eukaryota; Viridiplantae; Streptophyta; Magnoliopsida; Brassicales; Brassicaceae. The record is from RNAcentral.